This 73-nucleotide transfer RNA is filed under the name Operophtera brumata (winter moth). It matches the Rfam family "tRNA". Rfam says of the family: Transfer RNA (tRNA) molecules are approximately 80 nucleotides in length. Their secondary structure includes four short double-helical elements and three loops (D, anti-codon, and T loops). The record is from Rfam by way of RNAcentral. Lineage: Eukaryota; Metazoa; Arthropoda; Insecta; Lepidoptera; Geometridae.
CAUUCCAUGGCCGAAUUGGUCAAGGCGUUCCAGAUUAGAGGCAAAAAUGCGGGUUCGAGUCCCGCUGGUAAGG